This is a non-coding RNA of Protopterus annectens (West African lungfish), 72 nucleotides long. The record is from the annotation of a RefSeq genome assembly. NCBI's taxonomy places the organism in Eukaryota, Metazoa, Chordata, Ceratodontiformes, Protopteridae.
UCCCUGGUGGUCUAGUGGUUAAGAUUUGGUGCUGUUACUGCCACGGCCUAGGUUUGAUUCCUGGUCAGGGAA